UACGUAGGGUGCGAGCGUUAAUCGGAAUUACUGGGCGUAAAGCGUGCGCAGGCGGCUUUGCAAGACAGAUGUGAAAUCCCCGGGCUCAACCUGGGAACUGCAUUUGUGACUGCAAGGCUAGAGUACGGCAGAGGGGGAUGGAAUUCCGCAUGUAGCAGUGAAAUGCGUAGAUAUGCGGAGGAACACCAAUGGCGAAGGCAAUCCCCUGGGCCUGUACUGACGCUCAUGCACGAAAGCGUGGGGAGCAAACAGG
RNAcentral lists this ribosomal RNA (253 nucleotides) under uncultured bacterium. Its description in RNAcentral is "partial 16S ribosomal RNA". It matches the Rfam family "Bacterial small subunit ribosomal RNA", at positions 524 to 776 of the family's 1533-position model. The record is from RNAcentral.